AAAAGGACAUUCAGAGCACUCAGCAGGAGGCACUUGAACCCCCUUGGACAGGAGAGCCUGCUUCAGCUCCAGCGGCAGCCAGCAAUAACACUCUCCGUAAAAGUACACCCCAUCCCUUGACGUACCUAAUAUCUCCAAUAACACUGACUGAAGAGACGAGAGUUGUAUUUCUACUACUCUUUUUCUAACGCAAACCUUCAAGAGUAUGUUUUGAAUUCAGAAAUGCACAAACCAAGGCUCCUGGAGGAAGGAUACAGCAUACAAGUUCUCCAUGUAGAGGACAAUGAACAGAUAUCACCUGUAUACCAUGAAAAGGGUCACGUGGCGCCAUCAAAACCACCUGUGGCC
Long non-coding RNA from Hyaena hyaena (striped hyena), 348 nucleotides. RefSeq lists it as uncharacterized. The transcript is spliced from 3 exons. Lineage: Eukaryota; Metazoa; Chordata; Mammalia; Carnivora; Hyaenidae. The record is from RefSeq and is a predicted model, not a curated record.